RNAcentral lists this ribosomal RNA (439 nucleotides) under uncultured bacterium. RNAcentral's name for it is "partial 16S ribosomal RNA". It matches the Rfam family "Bacterial small subunit ribosomal RNA", at positions 339 to 795 of the family's 1533-position model. The record is from RNAcentral.
CUACGGGUCGCUGCAGUGGGGAAUAUUGCACAAUGGGGGAAACUCUGAUGCAGCAACGCCGCGUGGAGGAUGACACUUUUCGGAGCGUAAACUCCUUUUAUAUAGGAAGGAGAUGACGGUACUAUAUGAAUAAGCGCCGGCUAACUCCGUGCCAGCAGCCGCGGUAAUACGGAGGGCGCAAGCGUUACUCGGAAUCACUGGGCGUAAAGAGCGUGUAGGCGGAUUAAAAAGUCAGAAGUGAAAUCCUAUAGCUUAACUAUAGAACUGCUUCUGAAACUCUUAAUCUAGAAUAUGGGAGAGGUAGAUGGAAUUUCUGGUGUAGGGGUAAAAUCCGUAGAGAUCAGAAGGAAUACCGAUUGCGAAGGCGAUCUACUAGAACAUUAUUGACGCUGAGACGCGAAAGCGUGGGGAGCAAACAGGAUUAGAUACCCUCGUAGUC